This 336-nucleotide long non-coding RNA is filed under the name Actinidia chinensis (golden kiwifruit). RNAcentral's name for it is "long non-coding RNA (ACHI_LNC008246)". Lineage: Eukaryota; Viridiplantae; Streptophyta; Magnoliopsida; Ericales; Actinidiaceae. The record is from RNAcentral.
UAGUUUCAUUAGAACUAGAUAGACGAAUAUUAACGAAUAAUUUAAAUUUUUACUUAAUUAAAAUUAUAAAAUUUAAUUUGUUUUCAUAAUCAAACACCAGUUUUUUACCUAGUUCUCCCAAACACAAAAAUAAACCACUACCUAAAACGAAAUAAUCUAAACCAGGCCAUAACUAACCCAAUAGGUGCCUGUUUGUUUGUCGCUCCUUACCCGAAACAGUUUCUCUCUUCCCCCUCUCUCUCUUCCUUAGAAAAAAUUGGAGUGAGAGAGAGCUGAGAAGUUGAUUGCCUGAAGAAAUCAGCAUCCAUAGAUGUCUCGGGGUUACGUAGAGAAGCU